UUUGCCUUCUUGUUCUGCAUCGGUAAUUUCCUGCUCCUCUGGUAUUGAGAUAAGCAGAUGACUAGAAGACCCAAAUGUUCAUUACAUCAUGGUACCAUUGGCGGGUUCAUGUGGCAAACAUGUUUAAUGUUUUAUGUGCAUAACAUCCUUGACCAGCAGCCAUUCAUAGCCUCGAAAGCAAUGACAUUGUUUUGGAAAU
Molecule: long non-coding RNA, 199 nt
Filed under: Arachis ipaensis
Lineage: Eukaryota; Viridiplantae; Streptophyta; Magnoliopsida; Fabales; Fabaceae
Description: long non-coding RNA (AIPA_LNC002522)
Source: RNAcentral